UACGGGGGGAGCAAGCGUUGUUCGGAUUUACUGGGCGUAAAGGGCGCGUAUGCGGGUCUUUAAGUCAGGGGUGAAAUCCUGGAGCUCAACUCCAGAACUGCCUUUGAUACUGAAGAUCUUGAGUUCGGGAGAGGUGAGUGGAACUGCGAGUGUAGAGGUGAAAUUCGUAGAUAUUCGCAAGAACACCAGUGGCGAAGGCGGCUCACUGGCCCGAUACUGACGCUGAGGCACGAAAGCGUGGGGAGCAAACAGG
This 253-nucleotide ribosomal RNA is filed under the name uncultured bacterium. RNAcentral's name for it is "partial 16S ribosomal RNA". It matches the Rfam family "Bacterial small subunit ribosomal RNA", at positions 524 to 776 of the family's 1533-position model. The record is from RNAcentral.